CACUGAGGCCGGCAACAAUCCUUUUGGGCCAUUUCUGCCAGGUGCAUGGAGCAUUAGUCUGCCCCAUUCCUGCUGGCAUGCAGUUCCCUGCACAGUGACAUCUCACCUUACAUCAGGCACCUCACUGAUGAUGCUCAAUGACCUCACAAUCCAGACACCUGGUUUAAAGCCAUCUCCUCGCUCACAGCAGAAACGGGCAGGGCAAGGAAAGCCCUGGGUUGGCUUGUUCCUGGGUUGAGACACCAGGAGUUUUGGAAGGGUGACCAGCGCUGGAGUCUUUCUGUCCUGACUGAUGUGACCACCAGCCCAUUGAUGGUUUGCAGGCAGCACCCCCAGCAAUUGUCCGGACCCUGCUGCUAAAGCCGUGUGUGACACUCCCUCACCCCGCACUGGCUCUGAGCCUGGGCCUGCAACAAGGAAUCUCUGGGCCUAGCUAUGCGGUCGAGGGCUGAAUUGAAGGACCUGCUCUCUCCCCGGCUCCUUCCUUGCAGAAUAUAACCUUGUGCAGGGGCUGCAGCCACAACAGGUUCCUUUGGGAAAGGUGCCUUUGGGUUUACCAUGGUGCUCCACAGACCAGCAGCCCUGCCAGCAGCAGAGCCCAGAGGCAGCACGAUGGAAAAGAGCCACUGCUAGUCUUGUUGCCUGAAGCAUUGGAACUGGAGCACCGUUACUACUGGAGACAGGGACCGGGAGCUAUUGGCACUGGGAGCUGGACGGGGUUCUGAGCAAUGGAAGACUCACCAGAGUCGUCAGCAGAGGAGCCUAUGGAAGAGACAGCAGGGGAGCCGUUCGCAGGGCCCAUGGAGGAGGCGCUCCCUUGCCUGACUCACGUCUACACACUGUAUAUUGGAAACCUGAACCCCAAGUACUCGCGGGAGGUUCUCUGCAGCAUGCUGAAGGACAUUCUGGGCACCGCCAGCCUCCCCCUGCAGCGGCACGACAUAGAAGUGGUGAAGAAACCGAGACGGGCCUACGCCUUGGUGCAGGUGGCCACUGAGCUGAGCCUGGAGAACGUCCUGAAGCAGCUCCAGGUUGCCUCAGACAUGGAGCAACAUCUCCUCAGGGAGCUAGUGAUGAAAGGGAAAACCCUGGUGGUGGGGGAAGGCAGGAGAGCCUCACCCAGUGCUAAGGAGUGCCAAGAGAGUGACACACAGAUGAAUGGUGCCAGCGCCCCAGACUCUCCCGUGCUGGGGCAUUUGCAGUCUGGCAAGAGCAGGCUGUGGGGGUCCGAGGAAGCCCAGCCCAGCCCUUGUUGGAAGGGUCCCCCUCGAGCCCGGAAGCUGGUGGAGUGGCCGGCAGUGUUUCUUAGCGGCACCAGGUCAGACAGCGCCAUCGUUCAGAGGGAGAUCGUGGGCCAGGAGCGCCUGUUCUAUGGCGCUUUCAUGGGGAGCGAGACCAGGAACGUGGAGUUCAAGCGGGGUGGAGGGGAAUACCUGAGUGGGACCCUCAAACACCACGUCCGGAAGUAUGUGUGCGCCUUCCUCAACAGCGAAGGGGGCAGCCUCUUCGUGGGGGUGGAGGACAGCGGCUUCGUGCAUGGGGUCAGGUGUGGGCACAAAGAGGAGGACCGCAUCCGCCUGCUCAUCGACUCCAUUCUGAAAGGGUUCAAGCCGCAGGUGUUCCCCGAUGCCUAUACCCUGACCUUCAUCCCUGUGGUCAAAGCAGAAGACACUGGCAUCUUCCUGAAGGUGAUCCGGCUAAGCGUUCAUCUGCCCAGGCAGCAGGGGGAGCUGCUGCUUUAUGAAACGGACCAGGGGGAAGUGUACCUGCGCCGGGACGGCAGCAUCCAGGGACCACUCUCUGGGAGCGCCAUCCAGGAGUGGUGCAGGCAGAAAUGGACAGGAGAAGUGAGGAAGCUGGAAGAGCGGAUAGAGAGUUUGAUGAAGGAGAAGGAGAGCCUGCAGCAACAAAUCAACCAGCAGCGGAGCCCGAAUCCCAACUCUAGAUUCUGCACCAUCCUGAAAUAGCUUGAAUUUUCCCUUCUGUUCCUCGAACGCCAAACCCACCUGGAACCAGGACUCCACUGUACAAGGGAAGGGGAAAAAGAAAAAAAAGAUCCAGCUACACGAGACUUGCAGUUUUCUAUACCCUCCAAACAAGUAUUGCAGCUCUUCUGCUUUAAGACCUUGGAGUUACAAGACCUGACCAAUUCAUUUUACUACCAAGAUUUCUUUGAAUAUAACUGCAUGCACAGUAGUGAAAAGCCUUAAGUUUCAGAUGAAAGAUGGCAGACAUUUCAGUACUCCAAGACUGUUCAUGAAGUUCAGAUAUGUUCCAAGAGGCUUACAGAGACAGUCAGUUUCCAGCUGGUGUCAAGAUCACAGUGGAAUACUAGGGCAGAGUACCAUGAAGCUUGACAGUGCCACCAAGUUAAGUCAGACUACCCUACAAAGAACUGGUUAUAGUAAUGGCUAGAGGAAAUUCAAAAUGAACGCUGGCCUUCCCAACACCACCACUCAGGCUCAACACUGAACACCUAAAAAAACCAGACAGUGCACAUGUAUUAUAUAGAUCCUGUUCUGAAAGCGGGAGGUUGGUUUGCUAUUAAGUUGUAUGCAUGUAACAUAUGUUUGGACGCUGUAAUCCAAGGGGAAUGAGUUAUAAUAUUCCCGGCUGCUGAAUCAUUCUGAAAACUGUGAGGUGUAUCCUAGAUGUGUGCAAAACUGUAAGCAAGAACAAUCUGGUUAAGACACAAAUACUACUCCAGCUGAGAAGGGGGAAAAAAAGAGCAUACCUUUAUC
This is an RNA transcript of Mauremys mutica (yellowpond turtle), 2741 nucleotides long. It is a transcript of the gene named schlafen like 1, with no coding region annotated. The record is from RefSeq and is a predicted model, not a curated record. Lineage: Eukaryota; Metazoa; Chordata; Testudines; Geoemydidae. The transcript is spliced from 6 exons.